Sus scrofa (pig) is the source of this 6054-nucleotide RNA transcript. It is a transcript of the gene named DNA polymerase mu, with no coding region annotated. The record is from RefSeq and is a predicted model, not a curated record. NCBI's taxonomy places the organism in Eukaryota, Metazoa, Chordata, Mammalia, Artiodactyla, Suidae.
GUGUGGCCCUUAAAAAAAAAAGAGGGACAGGAAUGGCUUCAGGGGAUAGACAGCAGCCCCCUGAGGAGAGGCAGAAGCCACAGACUGGGAACUCAGUUCCGAGAACCCCUUCCAGGGACCCUGGGCGCUCUUCCUUCUCCGAUGGCAGGAGAAAUGAGCACAGGAAGUGAGAGAGGUGCCACAUCCAGGGCUCCUGGCUUUGAAGUGGUGUCCUGGGCCCAGGAGGGCCGGUUGGGAACUGAUGCGGAGGCCCAUCUGCCUCCCUCAGCCACCUGUCCACCGACAAGAGCAGGACCCCAGGGGAGAAGAUUUGGGCAAGUGGUGGGACCAGGGGUGACAUGGUCUAACAAGGUGAUUGCAAAACCUAGAAAGAAACAUGGGAACCCUCAGUAUGGUCUAGAUGUCAGCUUUCCCAACCUGAUCUAGGGACUCAGCACAGUACCAGUUCUUGGAAAAGCAACUGCUGGUGAGGUUUUUGUUGUCAUUUUGCUGGAUACGGUGGUCAAAUUGGCUUUCCAAAAGCCCCUCCUACAAACUGCCAAUUCCCUCACACCUUUAAAAGGUGAGGUCAAUUUUGUAAACACCCGGUAAUGUGACAGGUGAAGAUACUCUCAUUUGAACUGGCCCUUCCCUAGGGAUUGGACAGGUGGGGCAGUAUUUCAUCUGUGAAAUGCCUACUGGUGUUCUUGCUCUUUGCCUUUCCCUCAUUUAUCUUAGGACAAUUUCAUAAUUACAGGAAUUGGAUUUAAAUUCAAAAUGUGUUACGCUCUUCCCCCAUUUGCCUUUUAAUUUUAAAAUACAUUUUAAAUUUGUGUGUAGUCAAGUGUAUCGUCCUUCUCCUUUGGGUCUCCAGGUUUAUUGUGAUACUUAAGACUAUAAAAACAUUCACCGACGCCGCAGUACAUUUGUUGUUUCGUUUUUAGAGUUGAAUGUUUGAUCCAUCUGGAUUUUAUUUCAGUAUUAGGCACUGAGGGAGGGAGCCAACUUCUACUUUUCCAAAUGGCCGGCCAGUCGUCCCAACGCCAUUCGACUGAAAAGACUUUAAAACCCUUCCCGGGGCUUGAAGCGGCCGCUCCCCCAGCUCACUCCAAGCUCGCGUGUCCGCCGGGGCCCGGGUUCAGGGACCCCGCGCCGCCAGGUUUCUGCGGCCCACCGGCCCAAGAGCCCUGGUGCAGCGCGACCCAGUCGGAGGGGGCGAACAGCAGGGCCUGGGGCCGAUACGCCCCUCGGCUGAGAACGGAUCCCUCUCCUACCCGCCCAAGAUCGACCACCAAACCCCCGACACCGCCUUGCAAUUUCCCCUGCUGCCCUCCGAGGACGAACCCCGACGCCCGCCUGGAGGUUUCCCCAACCUCUAGCCUCCUCCCUCCGGGCUCAGACCCUUUACUCUCGCCCCCUCCCCCCUCCCGCUCUCUUCCCGGGUGGUCUCAAGAAUGGGGCGGGGCUUUCGGCGAAGGUAAUUUAAAUAAAAGGCGUGUGCUCCGGUUCUAUUUGCAUAGAGGCGGGGCCUCUGGAGCCGGGAGGCCGGAACACCCAGUCGGGUGGGAGCCCUGGACCUCCUCCUCCCUCCGAGAGACUCUGGGGGCGGGAGCCUUCCGGACCUAAUUUGCAUGGGGCGGGGCUUGCCUCCCCGAGAGGAGCCGGGCGCCACUUCGCUCUUCAGCCGGCUUCCGCCGCUUGCUUCCGCCUUCCGCCGGCUCUCCUUCUGCUCUCCUGCCGGCUUCUCCGUGUCGCGGGGCGCCGAGGCCAGGGCCGGGAUGCUCCCCAGACGGCGGCGAGCGCGGGUCGGGCCGCCUGAGGCCGCCCCCUCCUCCGCCGCGCGCUUCCCCGGGGUCGCGAUCUACUUGGCCGAGCCACGCAUGGGCCGCAGCCGCCGGGCCUUCCUCACACGCCUGGCGCUCUCCAAGGGCUUCCGAGUCCUGGACGCCUACAGCCCCGAGGUGACACACGUGGUGAUGGAGGGGACCUCAGCAGAGGAGGCCAUCUCCUGGCAGGAGCACAGGACGCCGUCCCUUCCCCCGGGUUGCAGCCACCCGGCGCUGUUAGACGUAAGCUGGUUCACGGAGAGCAUGGCGGCUGGCCAGCCUGUCCCUGUGGAGCGCCGGCACCGCCUGGAGGUGGCUGUGCCCAGGGAGGAGCUGCCAAGUCCAGUGUGGAUGCUGCCCUAUGCCUGCCAGCGUCCCACACCCCUCACGCACCACAAUGCCAGCCUCUCGGAGGCUCUGGAGACGCUGGCGGAGGCAGCAGACUUCGACGGCAGUAAGGGCCGCCACGUCUCCUUCUGCAGAGCAGCCUCGGUGCUCAAGGCCCUUCCCAGCCCCGUCACGGCCCUGAGCCAGCUGCAGGGGCUGCCCCACUUCGGAGAGCACUCCCGCAGGGUCAUCCAGGAGCUGCUGGAACACGGAGUGUGCGAGGAGGUGGAGAGAGUCCGGCUCUCCGAGAGGUACCAGACCAUGAAGCUCUUCACCCAGAUCUUCGGGGUCGGGGUACGGACUGCCGAUCAGUGGUACCAGGAGGGGCUGCGGACGCUGGACGACCUCCGAGAGCAGCCCCAGAGACUGACCAAGCAGCAGAAAGCAGGCCUGCAGCACUACCAGGACCUGAGCGCCCUGAUCCUGCGGUCAGAAGUGGAGGCCCUGCAGCAGGUGGUGGAGGCAGCUGUGGGGCAGGUCCUGCCGGGGGCCACCGUAACGCUGGCCGGCGGCUUCCGGAGGGGUCCGGGAGACCACAGAGGCUGUGAGUCAGACUGGCCCCCUCAGGGGGAAGUUGCAGGGCCACGACGUGGACUUCCUCAUCACCCACCCCCAGGAGGGCCUGGAGGCAGGGCUGCUGCCCAGCGUGAUAUGCUGUCUGGAGAAGCAGGGCCUCGUCCUGUACCACCAGCACCAGCGCGGCCAACAGGGAGACCCCACCCACCUGGCCCAGAAGCCCCACGCCAUGGAUGCCUUUGAGAUGAGUCUCUGCAUUUUCCGCCUGCCACGCCCCCCAGAGGCUGCCGUAGGGGGGCCCCGGGAGCCCUGCCCCCCCUGGAAGGCUGUGCGAGUGGACCUGGUGGUCACCCCCAUCAGCCAGUUCCCCUUCGCCCUGCUCGGCUGGACUGGCUCCAAGCAUUUCGAGCGGGAGCUGCGCCGCUUCAGCCGGAAGGAGAGGGGGCUCUGGCUGAACAGCCAUGGUCUGUUUGACUCGGAGCAGAAAAUGCCUUUCCACGUGGCUUCAGAGGAGGACAUCUUCGGACUCCUGGGCCUGGAGUACCUUCCCCCAGAGCAGAGAAAUGCCUGAUCCUAUCAGGUGGCCCCCACUUCCAUUCUUUGGAAAUGGGGGAGGCAUUUGAGCCAGAUCCCAUGGGUGUCUUUGGCCCCCGAAUGUUUCCGGGCAGAAGAUGCACCGCUGCCUCAAGUUCUCCCACGUGGGAGCCUCGUCUGUGUGGACCACCCCUCCUCCCCCCACACCGUGUUCAAGAUGAAAUGAAAUGAGCAUAUGGAACAAACUAAGCCGUAUUUUCUGACUGUGCUGCUGAUGAGGCUGACUGGGGAGCAUGGUGUCUGGUUCUGCCCAGAGGUCGGUCCUGCCUGGGCAGGUGGCCGUCCGUGAGCUGUAGGGUGUCAGUCAGGGUCAGGAAUGUUGACCUAAAACAAACAGACUUCAGUUAUUUCUCCAGCAAAAAUGGGUUUAUUCAGAGUCAGCAGAGAAUGGGUCUGCAGCCACGGCAAGUCAUAGACAAGUGCCCAGCAAAAAAUGGAGAGAAAACUUAUGGAGGAGGAAAAGGAAUUGGGGGUGGGGGGUGGCCAUAGUAAACACCAGUCCCUGGCUUUUCAUUGGCUUGCGUUGCUACCAGGAGAGAGAGGACAGCUUUCUUCCUGAGGGCCUCUGGUGUCAUUACAGGGUACGAGAGCUCCCCCUUCUGGGUUCCCAACUAUAUUGAACUGAGGUUUCUGUUUAUUAACUUUUUUACAUUUUCCCCUUUUGAUCAAGAUCUUUUUCUGAAAGCACCACUGAUCUGAGUUAGGUUUUCCAGCUUCAGGGUCCUUUUGUCCCUCAGCACAAGGAGGGCCCUUUCCUGUGCACAGAUUGGAAAUCUGUUGACAUAUUUAAGUAGGAGGGAGGGGGUAGGAGGGAGAGUGCUCAGGUACUUUUUAAUCGCAAGUCCUGGGUUACCAAGAUCCUAGCUGUUAGCAUCUAAAGCAUAUUAUGUCCUCAAAGGUUUGGUGACAAGCGUCCACCAGGCCUGGUCCAGAUACCUUUUGGAAGCAGCUAUAUCAUCACAUGUCAUCGGCUUCAGUUCAGGGAAGUCUUUACUUCCCUGCAGAUGAGUUGCGGGACCAGACGAGGUUGGGUGCUUUCUUUUAAGUGUGUCAUGUGAGUCCAAACGUGUAUCCCUUGGAGUUCUGUGCCACAAGGGUUGGUUAGAAGCACCUCAUAGGCGCCUUUCCAGCAAGGAGAGUUCCUCUGGAGGGGUCACUUCCAGCAGAUGACAUCUCCAGGUAGCAAAGGUGUGAUGCUUACGGCCCCUCCUCUCCCAAGGGUUCCUAUGGAAAGAUCGCUCUACCGAAUGGUGGUUAGCAGGCCUUUGCAGUAUGGGAGUAUCUCGGAAUCCGUUGUAAGUCAAAAGAGGGAGGAGCCAAGAACACCGGGCAUCCUGUGACUGUCUCAAAGGGUGAAAGCUUCUAAGUUCCAAAAUAGGAGCAUCUAAGAUUUCGUUAGAAGGCCCAACAGCAGGAGUUCGCAUCGUGGCUCAGCGGUUAACAAAACCAACUAGCAUCCAUGAGGAUACAGGUUCGAUCCCUGGCCUCGCUCAGUGGGUUAAGGGUCUGGCAUUGCCGUGAGCUGUGGUGUAGGUCUCAGACGCAGCUUGGAUCCCACGUUGCUGUGUCUGUGGUGUAGGCCGGCGGCGACAGCUCCGAUUCGACCCCUAGCCUGGGAAUCUCCAUAUGCCGUGGGUGCGGCCCUAAUAACACAAAAAGACAAAAAAUAAGGACUGACAGCAGUGCUUUUGAUCAAGGUCGUUGGAGGCCCUCUGCAUGUUUGGCCGAUUGAGUCUUAAUGGUGCCGCUGGUGUGUUUGACCAAAUCCGGACUGGGCGGGGGGGGGGGUGAGCACAGGGAGAGGAUAAGCCUGGCCACGCAGCGCGAACUUGUUAAAGCGCUUGGCUGGCCACGUGGCUUCCUCUGUCACUGCCAAGUCUGAGGGGAGUCCCUCAGUGGGGAACAUCGUUUCCAGAAGGACUCGAGCCACAGAAGAGGUGGUAGCCGAUCGGCCGUGGGAAGCUCCGGUCCAUUGUGAGAACACGGACUCACACACGCUUACGUUCACGCUGCAGAGAAGUGCGUGAAUCCACCCGCCAGACCUCGGAUUCUCCUUUAAGGAGUUUAACGUGUCUGGGAGCAGUACAAGCAGGCUUCCCUGGUUUGUACUUCAGACAAGUGGGACAGUGAGGGAGGUGCUUUUUGUUUGCUAAUGUUCCUGCGCCGGUACUGACUCACGAAGGCUGUCGUUUUGUCUGUAGACCAGGGGUUUCUUGCAUGUCCCCUAGAGAGGAGGGGGAUUGUAGAAUUUCUGGUGGGACUAGAUUGUUACUUGGUCUGAACCACAGCGCGCUUUCUUUAUCAAACCAGUAAGUACUGGAUUUCCAAGCUUGUUUUUCCUUUCCUGAGGCCGGUUUUUGUGCUUCUCUAGCCAGUUUUUUAAAGUUAUCCUUUGGGGGAAAUCUCCCUUUGGACCAUGACAGAACAUUCCUUUAGCUGCUGUUGGUUCCUUUAAGGGCGUGAUUCUUGCAGAAAGUUCAGCAAGGUGAUUUACCUUAUCUUCCAGAGAGUCAAGUUUAGAAUGCCCUGGAAUCUUAGAAGUAACUCAAGGGUAGGUGAGAGUAUUGCAUCCAAUAAUCCUGAACAUUGGGGCCAUUUUAAAUUUUAUUUCUGCUGGAAGUGGGGAAGCCGUGUUGCUUCCACAACAUUCCAAAGUAAUGAGCUAUUCCGAAAACAUGUCUACAAUCAACAUAAGUAUUGGCAGUUUUGCCCUUGGCUAAAGUAUAAGCCUGUGUAAGAGCAUAUCAUUCAA